RNAcentral lists this ribosomal RNA (638 nucleotides) under Vibrio alginolyticus. Its description in RNAcentral is "bacterial LSU rRNA". It matches the Rfam family "Bacterial large subunit ribosomal RNA", at positions 1274 to 1897 of the family's 2925-position model. Lineage: Bacteria; Pseudomonadati; Pseudomonadota; Gammaproteobacteria; Vibrionales; Vibrionaceae. The record is from RNAcentral.
UGGACGUAUCAGAAGUGCGAAUGCUGACAUGAGUAACGAUAAAGGGGGUGAAAAACCUCCUCGCCGGAAGACCAAGGGUUCCUGUCCAACGUUAAUCGGGGCAGGGUAAGUCGACCCCUAAGGCGAGGCCGAAAGGCGUAGUCGAUGGGAAACGGGUUAAUAUUCCCGUACUUCUUACAAUUGCGAUGGGGGGACGGAGAAGGCUAGGUGGGCCUGGCGACGGUUGUCCAGGUUCAAGUGCGUAGGCUUAAGAGUUAGGUAAAUCCGGCUCUUUCUAAGGCUGAGACACGACGUCGAGCUACUACGGUAGUGAAGUCAUUGAUGCCAUGCUUCCAGGAAAAGCCUCUAAGCUUCAGAUUGUAAGGAAUCGUACCCCAAACCGACACAGGGGGUCGGGUAGAGAAUACCAAGGCGCUUGAGAGAACUCGGGUGAAGGAACUAGGCAAAAUGGUACCGUAACUUCGGGAGAAGGUACGCUCUCGACGGUGAAGUCCCUCGCGGAUGGAGCUAUUGAGAGUCGCAGAUACCAGGUGGCUGCAACUGUUUAUUAAAAACACAGCACUGUGCAAAAUCGCAAGAUGACGUAUACGGUGUGACGCCUGCCCGGUGCCGGAAGGUUAAUUGAUGGGGUUAGACUU